RNAcentral lists this ribosomal RNA (460 nucleotides) under uncultured bacterium. Its description in RNAcentral is "partial 16S ribosomal RNA". It matches the Rfam family "Bacterial small subunit ribosomal RNA", at positions 338 to 795 of the family's 1533-position model. The record is from RNAcentral.
CCUACGGGAGGCAGCAGUGAGGAAUAUUGGUCAAUGGGCGCAAGCCUGAACCAGCCAAGUCGCGUGAGGGAUGACGGUCCUAUGGAUUGUAAACCUCUUUUGUCGGGGAGCAAGGCCCGCCACGUGUGGCGGGAAGGAGAGUACCCGAAGAAAAAGCAUCGGCUAACUCCGUGCCAGCAGCCGCGGUAAUACGGAGGAUGCGAGCGUUAUCCGGAUUUAUUGGGUUUAAAGGGUGCGUAGGCGGACGGUUAAGUCAGCGGUAAAAUGUCGGUGCUCAACACCGGCCUGCCGUUGAAACUGGUCUUCUUGAGUGAGCGAGAAGUGUGCGGAAUGCGUGGUGUAGCGGUGAAAUGCAUAGAUAUCACGCAGAACUCCGAUUGCGAAGGCAGCAUACCGGCGCUCAACUGACGCUGAGGCACGAAAGCGUGGGGAUCGAACAGGAUUAGAUACCCUAGUAGUC